AUUGAACGCUGGCGGCAUGCCUUACACAUGCAAGUCGAACGGCAGCACGGGAGCAAUCCUGGUGGCGAGUGGCGAACGGGUGAGUAAUAUAUCGGAACGUGCCCGGUCGUGGGGGAUAACGCAGCGAAAGCUGCGCUAAUACCGCAUACGAUCUGAGGAUGAAAGCGGGGGACCGUAAGGCCUCGCGCGACCGGAGCGGCCGAUGUCAGAUUAGGUAGUUGGUGGGGUAAAGGCUCACCAAGCCAACGAUCUGUAGCUGGUCUGAGAGGACGACCAGCCACACUGGGACUGAGACACGGCCCAGACUCCUACGGGAGGCAGCAGUGGGGAAUUUUGGACAAUGUGGGCAACCCUGAUCCAGCCAUUCCGCGUGAGUGAAGAAGGCCUUCGGGUUGUAAAGCUCUUUCGCAAGGGAAGAAAACUCGAUCUCUAAUAUAGGUUGAGGCUGACGGUACCUUGAUAAGAAGCACCGGCUAACUACGUGCCAGCAGCCGCCGCCG
Molecule: ribosomal RNA, 500 nt
Filed under: uncultured bacterium
Lineage: Bacteria
Description: partial 16S ribosomal RNA
Rfam family: Bacterial small subunit ribosomal RNA
Source: RNAcentral